Molecule: ribosomal RNA, 468 nt
Filed under: uncultured bacterium
Lineage: Bacteria
Description: partial 16S ribosomal RNA
Rfam family: Bacterial small subunit ribosomal RNA
Source: RNAcentral
GACGAACGCUGGCGGCGUGCCUAACACAUGCAAGUCGAACGGAAAGGCCCUGCGUUUGUGCGGUGCUCGAGUGGCGAACGCGUGAGUAACACGUGAGUAUCCCGCCCUUGACUUUGGGAUAACUUCAGGAAACUCGGGCUAAUACCGGAUAGGAGCUCCUGCUGCACGGUGGGGGUUGGAAAGUUUCGGCGUUAGGGGAUGGACUCGCGGCUUAUGCGCUAGUUUGUGGGGUAGUGGCUUACCAGGCGUUCGACGGCUAGGCGGCCUGAGAGGUUGACCGGGGACAUGAGGACUAAGAUAGGCAGCAGACGGCUAUGGGAGGCAGCAGUGGGGAAUAUGACGCAAUAAGGCGGAGCCUGAGACAACGGCGCCGGGUGCGUGAUGCCGGCCUUCGGGUUGUGAACCGCUUUCGACUGAGACGAAGCGUGAGUGACGGUAAUGGGUAAAGAAGCACCGGCUAACUACGUG